RNAcentral lists this unclassified non-coding RNA (2281 nucleotides) under Hevea brasiliensis (rubber tree). Lineage: Eukaryota; Viridiplantae; Streptophyta; Magnoliopsida; Malpighiales; Euphorbiaceae. The record is from RNAcentral.
AUUUGACUUAUAUUCAAUCAAUUUCAUAAAAUUAUAAAUAUAAAAUUUCAAAUGAAUUAUUUUACAUGAAAUACAUUAAAUUUGAAUUCAUAAAUUAAAUUCCAUAAUUAUACAAACUAAAUUCUAAGAAUUAUUAGGCGAUUGGGUAACAUUCCCCACCAUCUGCAGAGAAAUGCAGGGCUGCUCAACUGGAACAAAGUGGCCAGCCCCCAGAAUCCAAUAGAAAGACAAGUUCUUGUAUGAGCUUGUGAACCCUUUGGUGGUUGUGUCAUCACCUUUGCAAUACAAAGGAGUAGGAUCCACAAUCAGAAAAUUUUUCAAGCCAUCCCAUCUGAAAUGUAGAAUGAAUCAAACCACUAAUAUUUGAUUAUAGAAACCCAUUAUUGUAAAGUAAAAAUAUUAUUGAAUGUGGGCUAUCUGUACUUGAGUUUAUUAAGCCAUGCUUCUGCUCCUUUGGUUGAACAUAUGAGAUCAAGCUGGCCAUUGUAUAUGAUCACCCUUAUACCUUUGGCUAAGAGCUCAUCAACCUCUUGGAUUCUAGGCUUCAUGAAGUCACCAAGUAAAGCCUGAAAAACCAGGCCACUUUGUCGUCCCCAACUAUGAUAGCAGAUCAAUGAAUAUCAUCAUUAGAUUAAGCACGCAAAUUAACUACAAUUCCAAAAGCUGAAUACACUUAUGUUUUUAAUUACUGAAAACUUGGUGGCACUGCCAAUCUUUAUUUUGACUUGUUAAACAUAUGAUUUUUUUUUUCUGUAGGUCAAUGCAUCGCAUGACUACACAUAUAUAAGGAUUAGGGCUGUGCAUAAUUUCUAGGGAAUCAAAUCGAAUUGAAAAAUCAAACUGAAUCGAAUCAGAACUAAAAAAGAAUUAUUAAUACAAAAAUCAAAUCAAAUUGAAAUUAUUUUACGGUUUUAAUUUGAAUUUAAAUAAAAAAUUCUGACAAAAUGAAAGUAUAAGAAUUAGAUAGGUCAUAAUAAAAAUUAAUAGUCGGACUGGACUUAUCAACUAAAAGUUAUAUGUUUAGCCAUUCAAAAAAAAUCAUUAUAUAUAUAUAAACUAAGAAUUUGAUCUUACGUGACAUUCUUUGGAAUAAUCUUCAGCUUCUUUCUGAUAGGCCCAUUCAUCAAACCAUAAAGGUUCCUAGCACGAGGUGAUCGAUAAUACCUUGCCUCAAGAUAUCUCGAGUACCUAUCUCUUGAAAGUCCUUUUGAUCUUUGUUUGGAGAUCCCCACCACCGGGUCAUUAUCAAAAUCAAGCAUGAAGUUAUAGAAGUCCACAUUGUUACUGUAGGCUAGAAUAGCAUUCUCAAGUUCACUCCACGUUGAUGUAGCAUUUUCAUAUUCGCCUUCGGCUAGCUGCUGUUGAAUCUUUAAAGCCAAACUGUUUGAGAUGUUUAAGCCAUUGCUGCUCAUUCUUGAUAAGUCUUUAAGUAAAGGUCCCCAUGAAAACACAAAAUCUUCAGGAGAAAUCCAGCUAUCUCCCAAAGCAACUCCUCCCAGUUGAAGCUUUAAUUCCCCUGCUUCAAUGGCUUUAAAAGCAGAAAUUCCAAGAGUGACAGCAAAUUUUCCUCCAUAGGACUCUGCAAAUAUAUACAAAGGACUCUUCUGGAGGGUCCCAUUUCCAUUGAAGAGCUCCUUCAAUAAGGUAGUUAAAUCAGUUGCUGCUUCUUCAUCAGUCCUGACCACCAAGGUCUGGUCUUCUACAUAACUAAACCCUGAAGCCACUGGACUAUCCACAAAUAAGAGAUCUGCUUUGUGAAGCCAUGUAGAAUUCCUAGGCUUCAAAUUGCUGUCAAGUGGUCCUAUCUCUAGGAAAUUUCCAAAUGCAACACCAGAGCCACCUGGGCCUCCUUGGAGCCAUAGAACUGUUGGCCAUGGUUUUGAUGGAUCUUCCACUCUAUAAGGGCUUUUAUAAAGCCACCAAAACAGGUGUGCCUUAGGUCGAACUUCGACAUAGCCCCAACAUUCAGACCCAUCAAAGGUUACCGCAAUGGAGGCCAGAGAUAAAUGAAACAAAGUAAAAGAAAAUACAAGGGAAAUCGAAAGAAGGAAGUGUUUCUCCAUGGUAAAUAGUUUUGUGACAAAAUGAAGACUCUUGGUGGAGGUUUAUAUAUGACAUAGACUUGAGACAAUCACAUAAGAAUCAUCACCUCCCUCCCCUUUUGACUAUAUUUGAACAAGAAAACAAACAUGCAGAAGGCAAUUCCUAGGAAGCUUAUUUUAUGGAAAUUCAUAGUAAUAUGACACUAUGAAUUUUGUUUCUUUAUGUUGGUCAAAUUGGC